UAGGGAAUUUUCCACAAUGGGGGCAACCCUGAUGGAGCAACGCCGCGUGCAGGAUGAAGGCUUUCGGGUCGUAAACUGCUUUUAUCUGUGACGAAUAUGACGGUAGCAGAUGAAUAAGCCUCGGCUAACUCCGUGCCAGCAGCCGCGGUCAUACGGAGGAGGCAAGCGUUAUCCGGAAUUACUGGGCGUAAAGAGUUGCGUAGGUGGCAUUGUGUGUCGGUAGUGAAAGCGUGUGGCUCAACCAUAUACCCAUUAUCGAAACUGCAAAGCUAGAGGACGAGAGAGGUGCCUGGAAUUCCCAGUGUAGGAGUGAAAUCCGUAGAUAUUGGGAGGAACACCGAUGGCGUAGGCAGGGUACUGGCUCGUUCCUGACACUAAGGCACGAAAGCGUGGGUAGCAAACGGGAUUAGAUACCCCCGUAGUCC
Molecule: ribosomal RNA, 425 nt
Filed under: uncultured bacterium
Lineage: Bacteria
Description: bacterial SSU rRNA
Rfam family: Bacterial small subunit ribosomal RNA
Source: RNAcentral